GGACUCUGUUGUCCGUCACCUGCGGGCACUGGAACAAUACGGUGCGCUUCUUUAUCAUGGCCGACCCUAAAUGAGUGGUUGAGCGGCCGAACUGCCACUGCCAUAGCUCUCUGAAGCCAGCCGAAGUUCAGGGGUCGUCAGCCGCGGAGAGCAGAUAAGGCAGAGAUACUGGGACUGGUCAGAUAGUGAAUUUGAAUGGCAGGUGUCAUAGUGCUUUGUACCAUGAAAAUUAAAAAAACACUAAGAAGAUAUUUUCUUUUAAAAUUCUUUGCUGAGUUAUAUUAAGGAUUGGCCAGCUGUGAAUGCAAAGGCCCAAACAGUGAUACCACCGUCCUUGCUUCCCUGAAUGCUGAAGUGUAACACCCUGAAUGCUGAAGAAUAACACCAGAGGCAAGUGUAGAGUGGAAAGUAAAAGGCUUUAUUAAAGGACACCAGAGGAAGAAGGGGAC
Molecule: long non-coding RNA, 449 nt
Filed under: Urocitellus parryii (Arctic ground squirrel)
Lineage: Eukaryota; Metazoa; Chordata; Mammalia; Rodentia; Sciuridae
Description: lncRNA (ENSUPAG00010016504.1)
Source: RNAcentral